This 497-nucleotide ribosomal RNA is filed under the name uncultured bacterium. Its description in RNAcentral is "partial 16S ribosomal RNA". It matches the Rfam family "Bacterial small subunit ribosomal RNA", at positions 28 to 507 of the family's 1533-position model. The record is from RNAcentral.
GAUGAAUGCUGGCGGCGUGCCUAAUACAUGCAAGUCGAGCGAACAGACGAGGAGCUUGCUCCUCUGACGUUAGCGGCGGACGGGUGAGUAACACGUGGAUAACCUACCUAUAAGACUGGGAUAACUUCGGGAAACCGGAGCUAAUACCGGAUAAUAUAUUGAACCGCAUGGUUCAAUAGUGAAAGACGGUUUUGCUGUCACUUAUAGAUGGAUCCGCGCCGCAUUAGCUAGUUGGUAAGGUAACGGCUUACCAAGGCAACGAUGCGUAGCCGACCUGAGAGGGUGAUCGGCCACACUGGAACUGAGACACGGUCCAGACUCCUACGGGAGGCAGCAGUAGGGAAUCUUCCGCAAUGGGCGAAAGCCCGACGGAGCAACGCCGCGUGAGUGAUGAAGGUCUUCGGAUCGUAAAACUCUGUUAUUAGGGAAGAACAAAUGUGUAAGUAACUAUGCACGUCUUGACGGUACCUAAUCAGAAAGCCACGGCUAACUACGUG